CCUGGCCCUAGAAGUGUUACAGGAGUGGCUUCUGUGUCACAUAUAUGUCAGUAGAUAGCAGAGAGGAGAGUGACUAGGUCUAUGCUCAGUGUUCUGACCUAUGAACAUCUGAAUGAUUAGUGACCCUGA
Molecule: small nucleolar RNA, 129 nt
Organism: Mus pahari (shrew mouse)
Lineage: Eukaryota; Metazoa; Chordata; Mammalia; Rodentia; Muridae
Product: small nucleolar RNA SNORA17
Exons: 1
Source: RefSeq, a predicted model, not a curated record